This 253-nucleotide ribosomal RNA is filed under the name uncultured bacterium. RNAcentral's name for it is "partial 16S ribosomal RNA". It matches the Rfam family "Bacterial small subunit ribosomal RNA", at positions 524 to 776 of the family's 1533-position model. The record is from RNAcentral.
UACGGGGGGGGCAAGCGUUGUUCGGAAUUACUGGGCGUAAAGGGCUCGUAGGCGGCCAACUAAGUCAGACGUGAAAUCCCUCGGCUUAACCGGGGAACUGCGUGUGAUACUGGAUGGCUUGAGUUUGGGAGAGGGAUGCGGAAUUCCAGGUGUAGCGGUGAAAUGCGUAGAUAUCUGGAGGAACACCGGUGGCGAAGGCGGCAUCCUGGACCAAUACUGACGCUGAGGAGCGAAAGCCAGGGGAGCAAACGGG